CCUACGGGUCGCAGCAGUGGGGAAUAUUGGACAAUGGGCGAAAGCCUGAUCCAGCCAUGCCGCGUGUGUGAAGAAGGCCUUCGGGUUGUAAAGCACUUUCAGUGGGGAAGAAAGCCUUGGGGCUAAUACCCUCGAGGAAGGACAUCACCCACAGAAGAAGCACCGGCUAACUCCGUGCCAGCAGCCGCGGUAAUACGGAGGGUGCGAGCGUUAAUCGGAAUUACUGGGCGUAAAGCGCGCGUAGGCGGUCUGAUAAGCCGGUUGUGAAAGCCCCGGGCUCAACCUGGGAACGGCAUCCGGAACUGUCAGGCUAGAGUGCAGGAGAGGAAGGUAGAAUUCCCGGUGUAGCGGUGAAAUGCGUAGAGAUCGGGAGGAAUACCAGUGGCGAAGGCGGCCUUCUGGACUGACACUGACGCUGAGGUGCGAAAGCGUGGGUAGCAAACAGGAUUAGAUACCCGGGUAGUC
This 465-nucleotide ribosomal RNA is filed under the name Vreelandella stevensii. RNAcentral describes it as "partial 16S ribosomal RNA". It matches the Rfam family "Bacterial small subunit ribosomal RNA", at positions 338 to 795 of the family's 1533-position model. Lineage: Bacteria; Pseudomonadati; Pseudomonadota; Gammaproteobacteria; Oceanospirillales; Halomonadaceae. The record is from RNAcentral.